GACGUAGGGCGCGAGCGUUGUCCGGAUUUAUUGGGCGUAAAGAGCUCGUAGGCGGUUUGUCGCGUCUGCUGUGAAAUCCCGAGGCUCAACCUCGGGCCUGCAGUGGGUACGGGCAGACUGGAGUGCGGUAGGGGAGAAUGGAAUUCCUGGUGUAGCGGUGGAAUGCGCAGAUAUCAGGAGGAACACCGAUGGCGAAGGCAGUUCUCUGGGCCGUAACUGACGCUGAGGAGCGAAAGCGUGGGGAUCGAACAGG
RNAcentral lists this ribosomal RNA (253 nucleotides) under uncultured bacterium. Its description in RNAcentral is "partial 16S ribosomal RNA". It matches the Rfam family "Bacterial small subunit ribosomal RNA", at positions 524 to 776 of the family's 1533-position model. The record is from RNAcentral.